RNAcentral lists this transfer RNA (65 nucleotides) under Songmachilis xinxiangensis. RNAcentral's name for it is "tRNA-Leu". It matches the Rfam family "tRNA". Rfam says of the family: Transfer RNA (tRNA) molecules are approximately 80 nucleotides in length. Their secondary structure includes four short double-helical elements and three loops (D, anti-codon, and T loops). Lineage: Eukaryota; Metazoa; Arthropoda; Insecta; Archaeognatha; Machilidae. The record is from RNAcentral.
ACUAAUUUGGCAGAUAAGUGCAUCGGAUUUAAGCCUCGAAUAUAAAAGUUCACUUUUAAUUAGUA